This 459-nucleotide ribosomal RNA is filed under the name uncultured bacterium. RNAcentral's name for it is "partial 16S ribosomal RNA". It matches the Rfam family "Bacterial small subunit ribosomal RNA", at positions 338 to 795 of the family's 1533-position model. The record is from RNAcentral.
CCUACGGGUGGCAGCAGUGAGGAAUAUUGGUCAAUGGCCGGAAGCCUGAACCAGCCAAGCCGCGUGAAGGACGACGGUCCUAAGGAUUGUAAACUUCUUUUGUCGGGGGACAAAAGCUCCCUCGAGUGGCCGACUGAGUGUACUUGAAGAAAAAGCAUCGGCUAACUCCGUGCCAGCAGCCGCGGUAAUACGGAGGAUGCGAGCGUUAUCCGGAUUUAUUGGGUUUAAAGGGUGCGUAGGCGGGCAGUAAAGUCAGCGGUAAAAGUCCGGGGCUAAACUCCGUAGAGCCGUUGAAACUGGCUGUCUUGAGAGGGCGAGAGGUAGGCGGAAUGCGUGGUGUAGCGGUGAAAUGCUUAGAUAUUACGCAGAACUCCGAUUGCGAAGGCAGCAUACCGGCGACGUACUGACGCUGAGGCACGAAAGCGUGGGUAUCGAACAGGAUUAGAUACCCCAGUAGUC